RNAcentral lists this long non-coding RNA (238 nucleotides) under Elaeis guineensis (African oil palm). RNAcentral describes it as "long non-coding RNA (EGUI_LNC058145)". The record is from RNAcentral. Lineage: Eukaryota; Viridiplantae; Streptophyta; Magnoliopsida; Arecales; Arecaceae.
CCAACAAGAUCGGAUGAAGGGAAAAAGUCCCUCAGCGGCACCUCCAUGCUCCUAUGCAACCCUGCAAAAAGUGAGGGGAGGGCCCUCACUUUGAGAAGAGGAGGAAAAUUAAAAAGAAAGGGUGACGAGCUACGACGAAAACAGAUGAAGGACGAACCGCACCAAAGAUCUAAAGAACCUCAUCCCAACAAAGACGGAGAGUCCCUACCAAACACCCCCAGCCUCUAAGAAGACUCCC